GUGCUUGCUUCAGCAGCAUAUAUACUAAAAUUGGAAUAAUAUAGAGAUUAGCAUGGCCCUUGUGCAAGGAUGACAUUCAAAUUCUUGAAGCGCUCCAUAUUUUU
This is a small nuclear RNA of Nomascus leucogenys (northern white-cheeked gibbon), 104 nucleotides long. NCBI's taxonomy places the organism in Eukaryota, Metazoa, Chordata, Mammalia, Primates, Hylobatidae. The record is from Ensembl.